RNAcentral lists this long non-coding RNA (464 nucleotides) under Capsicum annuum. RNAcentral describes it as "long non-coding RNA (CANN_LNC002188)". Lineage: Eukaryota; Viridiplantae; Streptophyta; Magnoliopsida; Solanales; Solanaceae. The record is from RNAcentral.
GCACUUUUAUUGGACUUGUUGUGUUGCAUGUAACAUAGUCCCUCUUGCUCACCUCCAAAACUGAGUCUGUUUUUCCAUCAUACUUCCACACUGCCAAAAAUAUGUAGAAAAAAAAGAAAUAGUCAUUGACAUAUAAUCUUCAUUACAACAACAAAAUAAGUGUAAUCUCACAAGUGGGGUUUGGAGAAGGUAAAGAAAUACGCGUGGACCUUACCCCUACCUCGAGAAGCAGUACUAACAAAUAUGAAGAUUGAACUUCAUUAGAUGUACCAAAAAAGAAAGAGCUUUUCAGCUCAAUUGGAGCUACAUGAAAUGAAAAACUAUAAAGUUGAGAUUCUUGAACAUACCAAGUGAAUCUCCAACAAGGAAUCGACGUUUUUCAGCCCAGUGAUUGAGGGAAUCAGAUUCAGAAGAAGGAAUUUUCCAAGAAUCAUUUUUCCCACCAACCAAAUGCUCUCUUGCUU